Molecule: long non-coding RNA, 4672 nt
Organism: Zalophus californianus (California sea lion)
Lineage: Eukaryota; Metazoa; Chordata; Mammalia; Carnivora; Otariidae
Exons: 4
Source: RefSeq, a predicted model, not a curated record
AGGAAACCUACGCCGGUUUGGGAUUUCGUUAUUUCAUUUUACAGACCGCCCCUAUGGCACUUCGUUAAAGUGUAAGGUUUCGUGACUUCAGUUCUUUCUUCUGCUAUUGAAAAGAGGAACCCAAAUAAAGAUUCUCGCCUAAACAUACUGCUUGCUCCUGCCUUUACUUCCUGACCAAAACCUGGUGCUCCUCCUGUGGCCUUGUGUGGUGAGCUGCUUGCCUCUUGUUUCCAGGGGAACUUUUUGGAGGCUGGGAAGUCCAAGAUCAUGACACAUAUGGACAGCCGUCUGGUGACCUAUGGAAAGGCCCAGAGGUGCCAUCUUCUUUUCUACAGCUGUUCUUGAUACCUGAUUCUUCAUUCAUUCAACUAACUGUAACUAUAAGCGUGCUGAGGCCAGAUGCCUGGUCCGCGUGGUUCAAGUCCGUAUUGGUGCCUGGCACAUAACGAGCACGCAACAAACACUUGUUAAAUGAGUGAACCAUGAUUUUACUGAGCGUUUCUGUGUGCCGCUUACAGCUCUGAGAGCUGAGAAUAGGGAAGUAAUGGCUACACUGCGCUUCCUCUGGAGGCUGACACUAGGAACAAAAACAGACGCGAAGUACUCUGCCUAACGGAGCGAACUCCCUCCCGGCUGAAACUAGAGCAGGGCGGCGCUGGGUGGCGUGCGCGUCUGCCGGGUCUCUGUUGGUCCGGUUCAUGCUCUUCCGGCUCCCGCAGCGCGGACCGAUCUGCAGCGCCAGUAGCGGGCUGGGGAGAGGCUUAAACGCCAGAUGAUUCCUCCCGACGGACUCGCCUGCGGCGUUCCGCUCUCGCUUCCAGACGCCUCCCGGUGCUCCAGGGUUCGGCGGCACACACCUGUCGACUGCCUCGGCCCAGCUGCGGCUCAGUCCCGCAGGACUCCAGGGAGCGAUGCCCUUACCCCGCCUCCUCCAGGCUGCGGACCAGAACAGCAGCGGGGCCUCAAAGGAAAAAUCCCGCCAACAAAAACAAAAACAGCAAAACCCCCCCAAAGUUUUUCCUCGCGACCUCACCCACUUCGCUGUGUGGAUGAGGCGUGGUGGUCUCGGGUUUGAAGGGCGAGGAAGUGCCUAAAGCGCAGCCUAGAGGGCAGCUGGCGUACUGCGCAGCCCUGGGAUGCUUUCCGCGGGUACCCGCGCAGGGUGCUGGAGCGUCCUCCGGGAGGUGCUUUCACUUGGGUCGGGAGUGGCGAACGCAGGCUGUGGUGCUUCCUCUCCAAGCCUCAGGUUUUAGCUGGAGCCAGAGAAACCGGCCUUGCCCAGGGGCCAGUCUCACGGACGGAAUUCCAAAGAGAACUUAAAGUUCUUUUAUCUUACGCCCCGAAUAGCUGCGAGAGGCGGCGGUUGCGGCGUGGGUGCAGCCAGGGGAAGCAGCAGCAGCGGGCGCCGCAAGCCGGGCGUGUGUGUUUCCUCUCUGGGCCAGCUUUUGCCAACCUGCCCGGCCUCGGAAGCCCAGGGAACAUACUAUCUUUUACUUAAGAGCUCUGAAGCCCUAUUACAUACUCUGCCUGACAUCUCCAAACACUGCCAACGCUCACAUUGUUGAGUGGCGAAUUCGGGGGUGGGGGUGGGAUUAGCAAAGGAAAAAUUAGGACCGCAAAGGAAAAAUUAAUUUCUCACUAGGUUUAUUGCAUCUGUACCCUCCUGUCACUUUUGUCUUACUUAAGGAUAAUGUUAAACUUCACCAGAUAUUUCAACUGACCAUUUCAACUUUUCCACCUACAAAAGUUUCCUGAUGAAAAAAGUCUUCCGUCUCGAUAGGCAUACUUUCUUGUUUGUGUUUCAUAAUAUACAGAAUUAUAUUGCCCAUCAUGGACACAGGAAACCAAUCACUACCUUUUACAGUCACAAUCAUUGGUUUUCUGUAUUUAUCCUUAGGAUUUAAUACUUAAAUUGGCUGCAAGUUUAUUCAGCUGUGGUUUUAACCCUUUGACUAAGGGGAAUUAUUUUACACAUUCAAACCUUUUUCUUUUUAAAAAGAAGUAAAUAAUUAUGAUGAAAAUAGUCUUUGGAGUCUUCCUGGUCUGCUCCAGGAACUGACUGACGUGCACCAAAUCCUUGACCUUGGUCUAAUUUCUACCAAACAUCAAAACCUGGGUCUAUUCCAAAUGUGAGCCUGGGACCGUGAAAGUGAACUGGACAAUCUUUUCCUGCAGGUGAUCCUGUCUUUCUUUGCAAUGGUCACAAGCUCCUCAGACCUUUUGAAAACUGUCUACAGUUACCUUGCAGUGCUCCUGAAAACGUGGGGGAAGAUCAUAUGUGAAGGGCCUGGAAGGGCCUAGAAUGAGGCUUGUCAAGCAUGGGCACAGCUGCUCCAUAAUAAGCGCCCAUUACGUGUUCAUGGAAAGCAUGAAAGAUGCAUGAAUUAAUACAGGGUGCUCACCCUGAGAGGUCUGUUACUCAAACUUUAAUAACAGACGACUAUGAGUUCCUGCUUCUCUUUUAUUUUUAUUGAUGUCUUUAUCACUAAAACGCUUCCUGCCUUGGGAAUUUGACGCCAGCCUGGUACAGUCGUGGGGGCACCUGCCUCCCUCUGAUUUCGGCACCCUGGCAUCCCUGGUAGUAGUGCCAGGCAGAGGACCGACAGGGUCCACAGAGGAGCCGUCCAGCGGCGCCUGCGUCCUCCCAGCAGCUUCUGGAACCCGCCCCGAGGCGCGUGGGUGCAUUCGUUUCAGUGAGGGCUUCUGUGACCGUGCGUGGCUAUCCAUGAGUAGCGUAGUCCCAAGGUCACCGCGACGCAAGCCGACCACUAAGAAGGUAUUGGAGCGGCCUGAAAUGUACAGAGGGAAGAGGCAAAGGUCUUGCGCGGAGAUCUGGGGCUACCCUUUCCUCUCCGCCUCCUUAGGAAAACAGCCUGAGUGCCUGAGGGGUCCAACCCCGGAAGGAGGGGAGAGAGAUCCCGGCCCCCGUCGGUUCCAAGCCCCGAAGGAGGCCUGGGCGUUCCUUCGCCCCGCGCGUGGGGCGUAGGCGCAGAGGCGAGGCCCCGCGCUGAGGCCGGCUGUCCCAUGGAGCCUCUUUGGUCGCCGCAGCGGGCUUCCCGGUGCUGGGUGUGGUGCCGUCCCAGUUAGCCCAGGGAUUGGGACGUCCCUCUUAGGCGGCAGGGGAGGGUCUCGGCCAGUCACGCAAAGAUCCCCAGCGUUCCUCUCAGUGCCUAGGCUUGCUCAGCAUUCUGGGCGUUUCUGCCGACGUCCGAGGUCGCACAAUUUUGCGAGGGCCUGGAGAAGCCAAUGGGGGAACUGAUGGAGUCACACUUCAUUCCUUUCUCACUUCUGUGUUUGUCAGAGGGAGCUUUGCUUGGAAUUUGCUGCACCAGAUAGUCACUUUGAUGGAAGGAAGUAUAAUCUUAUGCCCUGAGCAAUUGUUUUUGUAGAUGACCCCAUUAAAUCAUUGGAAAACUCGGCUAAAUGCAUUGCUCCAGAAAGAGGAAUCUUUUUGAGAUCCCAGAAUUCAUUAUAACAUUUGCUAUUUCUAGAAUGUAGAAUAGUUCGUUGGAAUUUAUUUUCCAAAAAGGAGGUAGAGUUCUAAUGCUAUUAUUACAAAUUUUCAAACAGUUUUUAAAAGGCCAAGCAAUGCUGAAAAGUAAAUUAGUUCUAAGUACAAGAGGGAAAAUACUAGUUACAAAAAUUAGUGAAAACAGCUAUUGAAAACUCGUUCCUCUUUUUAAUUAUCUUCCAGCAAUUGUCUUCCUAUUUCAAUCCCCAGUUUUGCAAGAGGAAAAAGCAAAGCAAAAUACCCACAUCUUAUACUUAGAUUACAGAUACUGUUGUCAAAUUAUUCAAAUGAACUCCCAAAGUUUCUUUUUUCUUUGAUGUGGACAUCUAACUACUUAGGCUUAAAAAGGUGGGCCGAAUCUUUCUUUAGGACAGGACUUCCCAAUUGUUAAAGCACUGGUUCCUUUCAAUUUGUGUAUGCAAGCUAAACCUUCCUUGAUCUUCUCAGAUGGAACAAUUCUACCAAACAGUGUAGAAAGUAUUGCCUAAUUUGGAGUGUGUUUUGGAAAGAAUAAGUUUGCUGAGAGCAAAAGGUCUUCUUUUCUCCUCCAACUAAUACCAUUUUUAUACAAGUAUCUUGUUUUAAAAUGAAUAUUUCAGCUUACCAGAUUUCCAUAUCCUUAGUCUUAGAUUUAUUUGGUAAUAUGAAAAAGGGACAGAUUCUUAAUUUUAACUUUCUCCCAUGUUUAUCACCUUGGGUGCCUAGAAUGAAAUGCCAUAGGUUAGGACUUGGAAGAAAUUACAACCAUCCUUACUUCACCAAUUCUUUCCAACUUAGAAGGGCAUAUAACUUUCUUCCUGAGAUCAAACAAUAUUUACUUUCCUUUUCCAUGUGUUAUCCCCCAGCCUUCCAUCCUAAUAACAGGAAGGCUUGAGAAUUAGUUCUCCAUUAUAUAGACAGUAUGAAAACAAGUAAGAGUGGUUUUCAUGGUCAACACACACUUUGAAUUUACUUUAUUGUCCCUGUAAAUAUUGUGUGGAGUCUAGUUAAUUCUCCACUGUCAUCAUCUUUAUAAUAUAAAAUAAUCAAAAUUAGAACUUGGUCAGUAAUGCUAUCCACCAUUUACACAAUAUCAAUAAUUUUUAAAAUUGCUUUAUUGGCUAUCUGGGAGCUUUAGCCUUGACUGCAUAGCUAUGGUUCCUUAAAAUGGAAUAAAUUUCA